UUAAAAACCCAAUUGCGACUUGAUGAAAUUAGACCAAACUUUCCAGAUCAGUCCUAUAAUUAAUUAUCAAAAUUCCGGAAGUCUCAAAAUCAAAUUUCGAUCUCUAGAACUAAAAAUGGACCUUUGGAUCAUUACAUGCUUAUGCUCAAAAUGACAAAAAUCUUCCAAAAACUCUUCCAAAACUUAUCCUAGCCUCAUGGGACCCCAACCAAACAUGCCAACAUAAUUCAUAACAUCAUUCAAACCUGUUCCAAUCAUCAAAACACCUCAAACAACAUCAAAUUACCCAAAACUCAUCGAAUCCAAGCCUAAGUUUCAAAAAAAUUCCGAAAUACACUUUCGAUCAAAAACCCGACCAAACAAUGUCCGAAUAACCUGAAAUUUUGCACACAGAUCAUAAAUGACAUAACGAAGCUACAACAACUAUCGAAAUUCCAUUCUGACCCUCGAAUCAAAAUCUCACCUAUCAACCGGAAUUCGCAAAGUACUAACUUUGCCAAUUCAAGCCAAAUCCUUCCACAGGCUUCCAAAAUGCAUUCCGAUCGCGCUUCUAAGUCAUAAAUCAUCCAACGAAACUAUCCAAAUCAUAAAAUUUCCGAUCCGAGCUCAUAUAGAAAUAAGUCAAUUCUUAGUCAACCUUUCAAAUUCAAAGCUGCCNNNNNNNNNNNNNUUCAAAGCUUUCAACUGAGACUGUUCCUUCAAAUUCAUUCCGAUUUUUCCUGAAAACCAAAACCAACGAUCUACAUCAGUCAUAAUACGUUACACGAGGCAAGUCAUGCCCGAGAACUGGCGAUCAAAGUAUAAAAACUCAAAAUGAUCGGUCGGGUCGUUACAAGAUGAUAGCAAUCUAAAAAGUAAUAUCACAAAACCACAAGAACAAUAUCUAUCAGAAUAUCACCAUAACAAAACAAAUAAUGACUAAACAAUUAAAGCAUACCUGAGUUUUCCCAGAAUGAUACCAUUUUCAUACCUAUAAAAAGCGAUAUCAUAUACAUACCUAUCCAGUAUAAAACCUUUUAGUAGUGAGCAAGCACAUGUCCAACGGAAAGAAAAAGGAUAAAAAAAUACAAGCUAAUCAGGGAACAUAUUUUUUUUCCUAGAACGAAUCUUUUAACUGAAAACAAAAAAAAAGAAUGUUGAAUUAUAUCAUUCUUAGUAACGAUAUUGUCCAGAGAGGAAAAUACGAGGAGCAUCAACUUCAUCAAGAGAAAAUCCAUCAAGAUUUAAUUUCUUGCACAAGUCCUGUAGCUUUUAGUCAUAGAUAUGAUAUUUAUUUAAGCUAAAGAAGCCUCGUAAGGUUGUGAAAAAAGAAUAUUAUGGAGACUCAGUUUUUUGGUUAUAGGGGAAGCCAAAAAUUCACAUUGGUAAAAACUUACCCGCACCGGGUAUUUAUACCAAACCAAUAGAUACAUGACAUGUGUCUUGCAUAUGGACUUCAAUCAUUUAACUAGUAAAUUAUAUGCAUUCUCAUCUAAUUAAAUUAAUUAACUAUAGUAAGCUAAUAUAGUUUGGUGUAAACACCCGGUGUGGAUAAGUAUUUGCCAUUCACAUCCUAGUUUGGAUGACUUUUGAUUUUUUCAUUCUUACCACCCAUCCCCCUUCAAUAUACAAACAUCACAUAAUGCAGACAAGAGACUUGAAGUUUCUUUUGUAAAAAAUCAAAACCUCACAUAUCUCCAUUCUCUUCCAGAGAAGCAUUUUCAACUCUUUCACUAGGGUCAUUGAUGGUCGGAUCUACUAGUCUCACUCCUGUAUAAACUCCCUAAAUUGAACACACUUCAAUAUUAUAUCUUGAGUUGGUUUAUCUAUAACCAUUAGGCAUAGAAGAAAUUGAACGUAGACUAAUUUAACAAAAAUUUAUGACUAACCUCAUUGGAACUGAAAAUAUUAAGGGGGAAAAAGCACGGCCAGCUCCUAAAUAAUCCUUCAAGUGCAGCUAGGGAUUUUUGUUUUACAACUUCAAAUCUAUAAAUAUAUAGAGUAUAACAACAAAAAUCCGUACCAAAAUUAUGUACAGAUCUUAAAAUAAAAGCAUUGAGACACCCAAAAAGUAUUAGUAACGAGAAAUUAAAAGAAAUGGGUCUGACAAGAUAAACACACAAGCGAUGGAAGUGGAGUGAACCACUUCAAUAAAGGAAAUGAAGGGGCAGAAAGUCGAUGGAGGCAGCUUCAGUGGGUGUCGCGGUCGACUCAGUGCAAGACCAUCUCAGUUUCUUUCAAUGCCUUAUCUCAGUUUUUUGAAUGGUGGACUUGGUCGCUGCUAGCCGACCGAGGGGUCGAUAGUGAAGUAGGGUAACAACAACGGAGGUGGCCUUGAAGCAAUAUACAUGGUGGAUGCUAUGAUGUAUGAUUGAGAAAUUUUCAUUAGGGAAAUAUUUUAGCGGUCAGAAUUGAGGGGAAAUUUUGCGUUGCCUCUUCAGAACUAGGGGGAAAUUUUCAGUAGAA
Molecule: long non-coding RNA, 2445 nt
Filed under: Nicotiana tabacum (common tobacco)
Lineage: Eukaryota; Viridiplantae; Streptophyta; Magnoliopsida; Solanales; Solanaceae
Description: long non-coding RNA (NTAB_LNC015874)
Source: RNAcentral